Clostridiales bacterium KA00134 is the source of this 108-nucleotide regulatory RNA element. It matches the Rfam family "Ribosomal protein L20 leader". Rfam says of the family: This family is a putative r-protein leader autoregulatory structure found in B. subtilis and other low-GC Gram-positive bacteria. It is located in the 5' untranslated regions of mRNAs encoding initiation factor 3 followed by ribosomal proteins L35 and L20 (infC-rpmI-rplT). The record is from Rfam. NCBI's taxonomy places the organism in Bacteria, Bacillati, Bacillota, Clostridia, Eubacteriales.
GUAUUUAAGAAGAAGUCCGCUUCUCACCUUAUGACAAGGGUCUAUGAGGUUAUUUUAGAAAAGAUUUUUUAAGUGCGGGCUUUUUUGUGUCCGCAUUUUUUAUUUAUA